RNAcentral lists this ribosomal RNA (250 nucleotides) under uncultured bacterium. RNAcentral describes it as "partial 16S ribosomal RNA". It matches the Rfam family "Bacterial small subunit ribosomal RNA", at positions 524 to 773 of the family's 1533-position model. The record is from RNAcentral.
AACGUAGGAGGCGAGCGUUAUCCGGAUUCACUGGGCGUAAAGCGCAUGUAGGUGGUUCGUCAAGUCGAAGGUGAAAGCCCCUGGCUCAACUGGGGGAGGUCCUUCGAAACUGGCGGACUGGAGGGCCAGAGAGGAAGGUGGAAUUCCCGGUGUAGCGGUGGAAUGCGUAGAUAUCAGGAGGAACGCCAGUGGCGAAGGCGGCUUCCUGGCCCGUCCCUGACGCUGAGACGCGAAAGCGUGGGGAGCAAAC